This 114-nucleotide ribosomal RNA is filed under the name uncultured bacterium. Its description in RNAcentral is "partial 16S ribosomal RNA". It matches the Rfam family "Bacterial small subunit ribosomal RNA", at positions 355 to 488 of the family's 1533-position model. The record is from RNAcentral.
UGGGGAAUCUUGCGCAAUGGGCGACAGCCUGAAGCAGCCAUGCCGCGUGAAUGAUGAAGGUCUUAGGAUUGUAAAAUUCUUUCACCGGGACGAUAAUGACGUACCCGGAGAGCC